GGAAGUAAAAGUCGUAACAAGGUUUCCGUAGGUGAACCUGCGGAAGGAUCAUUACCGAGUGCGGGCCCUCGCGGCCCAACCUCCCACCCUUGUCUCUAUACACCCGUUGCUUCGGCGGGCCCACCGGGGCCACCCGGUCGCCGGGGGACGUCGUCCCCGGGCCCGCGCCCGCCGAAGCGCCCUGUGAACCCUGAUGAAGAUGGGCUGUCUGAGUACUAUGAAAAUUGUCAAAACUUUCAACAAUGGAUCUCUUGGUUCCGGCAUCGAUGAAGAACGCAGCGAAAUGCGAUAAGUAAUGUGAAUUGCAGAAUUCCGUGAAUCAUCGAAUCUUUGAACGCACAUUGCGCCCCCUGGCAUUCCGGGGGGCAUGCCUGUCCGAGCGUCAUUUCUGCCCUCAAGCACGGCUUGUGUGUUGGGUGUGGUCCCCCCGGGGACCUGCCCGAAAGGCAGCGGCGACGUCCGUCGGGUCCUCGAGCGUAUGGGGCUUUGUCACUCGCUCGGGAAGGACCUGCGGGGGUUGGUCACCACCACAUUUUACCACGGUUGACCUCGGAUCAGGUAGGAGUUACCCGCUGAACUUAAGCAUAUCAAUAAGCGGAGGA
Molecule: ribosomal RNA, 602 nt
Filed under: Talaromyces verruculosus
Lineage: Eukaryota; Fungi; Ascomycota; Eurotiomycetes; Eurotiales; Trichocomaceae
Description: eukaryotic LSU rRNA
Rfam family: 5.8S ribosomal RNA (bases 232-385)
Source: RNAcentral